CCCUCACCUCUCUCUAAAGCUUUGGCGCCCACCGAAAAUCGCCUACAACGGCAACGAUACUCUAAACCCGCCCAAAAUUAUACCAUAUGUUCCGUACACCCUCUUAAACCUCAUCCUACGAAUAGAUUUCCCAAAAGCCCUAUCAAAUCAUCAUUUUUUAGAUAUGAAAUUCGAAGUAAACCUAGUUUUGCAUUUUUGUGGAUUUCUACAGUAAUUGUUGUUCAUUUUGGUUUGACGCUCACCCAAAUCGAU
Molecule: long non-coding RNA, 252 nt
Filed under: Nicotiana benthamiana
Lineage: Eukaryota; Viridiplantae; Streptophyta; Magnoliopsida; Solanales; Solanaceae
Description: long non-coding RNA (NBEN_LNC027290)
Source: RNAcentral